UAAGGAGACUGAUUCAUAAGCUUAUGCCCUGAAUUUCAAACAGAUAUUUUCAUCUAUAAUUCUCUCCUGUAAAAUGCUUUCAAUAAUUUAAAGGCUGGAAUGUUUGUUUUUAUGUUACUGGUAAGAAUUAGCUUCCUGCUUCUCUUUUAGGAGAAAACUUAAGGAAGAAUCCUAGCAUUUGAGUGCUCUCCAAGAACAAGUACAUAAACUACCUCUGUCUCAGCGAACACUGCAUAAUGGUGUUCGGAAAUAAAGCAGACUCCCCUGAAGUUCUGCAUUUCCAGUUACACUGCCUCUUAGAUAACACCCCCCAAACUCCUCUGCCUGUUACAGCACUCACUCGAGGGCUGUGCCUGCGCCAGGAGUGACAGUCUCUGCUGUGCAGAUUUCUUACAGUGCAGCAUGUUUCCCUUUCCCGAUUCCCAUCACCUCAAUACCAGGGGCAUCCUCCAGGCACUGUAACAGCUCAACAUGCGUCCAGCCAUUUCCAUACCCCCAGUUAAGAACCUGUGAUAAACCGUAAGCCUCUGAGGUUUCUUGUUGUUUUUCUGUAACAUUCUCCUCCCAGUCUGGCUUAAUUCUCUGUUUGCUUAUAAUCUGCUGAAUAGAUUAUCCUCGGAUUAGCCUCCUGAAGCACAUCUCUAAUCAAGAUGCCCACAAGGCUCUCUGGUGCCUAAGAGACACUGAGUUAAAACAGGCCCUUGUUAUCUUCAACGUCAUUUAAUUCAACAUUCUAUUUUUAGUCCUACAGUAUUUUAGUAAAAGAAUCAAUUUCUGGUAAUGGAAAAAUAUUGUAUUUUGAUUUGAAAAAAAAAAACAAAACAUACUUAUAUAAUAGCAAUGUGUUCUGGCCUCAAAGCCAUCCUGUACCGAGACCUCUAAAGCAGGCAUGCUGAUGAAGCUUUCCUUUUCCUGCCCUCAUAUUUGCCAAGUCACAUUUCUGUAAAUACAGUUUGGUAUCCAUUACCUUCUAUUAUGAGAUCGUCUCACAUAAAACUGUGCCAUAAGUAUCAUCGACCGAACACACUAUGUGUGUACCCCCCAUUCCCUGGGUACACACAGCUCUGCACUUGCACAUGUGCACACAUAAAUGACAAAAUAAUUCUAUGUCUGCAUCUAAUUCUCAGCACUGUUUCAGACGCCAAACACUUAUCUUUAAACCACAUAAGUUAUAGAUAUACAUGUUCUAUACAUACACACAUACAUAUUCCAUCCAACUUUAUGUUUCAUAAACUCUUCACAUAAAAAUUCAUUUAGUAAAUGGAAUGAAAUUAGUGCGACUGACAGAAAACAACGUGUUGAAGUCAGGAACUAUACCAUGAGGACUUUAUUGCCUUUCUAAAUAUUUUGGAAACAGUACAACUCGCCCAUGCAUCAUGUUUUCUUGGUGCAUGCGUAAUCAUUUCUCCUCCAACUUCCAAUUAAAAAUUCAUGGGGAUGAGCAUCAAGCAGAGCACAAUGGACCUGAGUCAGUGUGAUGUGGUGGCAAAACACUGAGGUCUUGAAAUUCAAAGCUGUGGUCUCCUGCCCCCUCUACUCAUGCUCCUCCUUGUGUGACUGAGUAAUAAUGAUG
RNAcentral lists this long non-coding RNA (1573 nucleotides) under Sus scrofa (pig). RNAcentral's name for it is "lncRNA (ENSSSCG00025037516.1)". The record is from RNAcentral. Lineage: Eukaryota; Metazoa; Chordata; Mammalia; Artiodactyla; Suidae.